CAGUCGCCACGGGAAUACGGAGGGUGCAAGCGUUAAUCGGAAUUACUGGGCGUAAAGCGCACGCAGGCGGUCUGUCAAGUCAGAUGUGAAAUCCCCGGGCUUAACCUGGGAACUGCAUUUGAAACUGUCAGGCUGGAGUCUUGUAGAGGGGGGUGGAAUUCCAGGUGUAGCGGUGAAAUGCGUAGAGAUCUGGAGGAAUACCGGUGGCGAAGGCGGCCCCCUGGACAAAGACUGACGCUCAGGUGCGAAAGCGUGGGGAGCAAACAGGAUUAGAUACCCCUGUAGUCCCUGUCUCUUAUAC
RNAcentral lists this ribosomal RNA (301 nucleotides) under uncultured bacterium. RNAcentral's name for it is "partial 16S ribosomal RNA". It matches the Rfam family "Bacterial small subunit ribosomal RNA", at positions 509 to 807 of the family's 1533-position model. The record is from RNAcentral.